Long non-coding RNA from Zeugodacus cucurbitae (melon fly), 1637 nucleotides. RefSeq lists it as uncharacterized. Lineage: Eukaryota; Metazoa; Arthropoda; Insecta; Diptera; Tephritidae. The record is from RefSeq and is a predicted model, not a curated record. The transcript is spliced from 3 exons.
UACGCCCAUACUACGGUAUACAAUCCGAUAAAGCGCUUACCACAUAUUUUGCUCCAUAAAUCAAUAACAACUUACUUACAUAAUUACAUAAUGCUUAUUCAUUUAACUUUUCUACUUUGGAAUUCUGCCAUCUGUUGAUGCCUUAUUGUUAUUGCUAUUGUUGAGCCACUUUUCCACUUUUAUUAAUUUUAAUUUUUUGCCUAUUUAUUUUUAUGGCAUAAUCUUUGAAAUUACAAUGCCUCAAUUUAUGUAAAUUGCCACACUGGCGCUUGUGUACGUAUGUAUGCAUGUGAAUAUGUCAGCCCGUGGCCAAAGUUCGUGGUAAAACUAUAAAAAGAGUGAUAAAAGCUCGCACCCAGUUUGGAUAAAUUUUCUUGUGAGUUCUAACAUCAAAAUGUCCACAGUAAAUCGUUAAGUGAAAGUGUGAAAAUGUUGAAUUGACAAUUAUCGAGACAAUAACUGUUAAUCACUGGCUAAAGAUCAGGCAACACGAAUAUUUGGUAAUAAGUGUCAAAUUAUUAUAAAAACAAAUUAAUAUUAGAAUGUAAACCUUAUUACAUUCCAUUGAUAUUUGGACUUAGCUUAAGAUGGGAUUCUAAAAAAUUAUAAAAAAGUUUCGUCCUUUCGUAACUACAAAUGAUAUAUGUACACAUAUAAAUAUACAUAUUCAUAUAUCGCCAACGACUUUGUUAUGUUGUUACAAGUGGCAGACUAAAUCGUAGUUUCUGGUUUUUACAUAAUCGCCAACUAGAUUAGAACGUCUUGUAACAAUAAGCGCUUCUAAGUAAAGCUUGAAAUCAGUCAUUAAUGCAGUUAUAACCAACUUAUUUCACAUUAAUUUAUUUAUGAACUAAGUCACUCUGGCUUAUUCCACAUCACAUACAUAUCAGUCGCUGGAUGGACCAGUGCAAUAAGGUGCUAAAAAACUGGCAACGAAUCGCCUCAGGAACCACAAGAAUACUUAAAUGUUAAUAAAUCAACGAGUGCAAUAGAACUGGUCGCUUACGUCAAAAAUGUUGGCUAUAAAUCUCUUAAUCGACGAUAAAAAGUUAAUGCAUAAUGAAAUAUAGGCGGAUAAAUAAAUAACUAAUGCAGUGAAAAUCCACAAAGUUGUUGGCGAAAUUCCCUGGAAGUGUCAUACAAUACUGGUAGAAAGGAACAACCAGAACCAGAAAUUUUUUAAUAUAUACUAAUAUAUAUCUAAAAUAUUGAAACAGUAGUUUUGACACAUAAAUGUUUCAGUCACUUUAUUGAAUAUUGCACAUGUACCACAUAUUUUAACAUUUAAAAGCUUUUUUGUAAUAAUUAAACUCACAUAUAGAAAUAUUUUUAAGUAAUAUUUAGUUUUUUACAACAAUGGUAGCACAACACUUGCCGGAAUAUUUUAUAAGUAUAUUUAAGUACAAGUUUAACCAUACAUACAUAUAUGAAUAUCUAUUUGCUCAUAUAUUUCGAUGAGUUGAAUACUUUUUUAUGAGUUAUUAUUCACGAACAUUGUCUAUAUGACUUGUGAUUGGUUAUAUUAUACUUCAAGACAAUUAUCUAUAUAUACCAUUUAUUUAAUAUUUUAUUAGUAUCUUUACUUAUAUUUAAUGUAUUUUACUAACGACAAAAUUGGGCUCUAUUUGCACUGCCAG